CUCCACUGCAGUUGUUUCUAUGAUGAUUGCUGAAGUGAAGGAGGAGUUAUCUAAUCUGAAAAGUCUUAUUCAGGGUCAAUACAUGAGAUGCUCAGACAUUCAAGAAGCUACAAAGUAGAUGCAAGACUCAGUCAGAUCCGAGCUGUUGAGCCUAAAUUCAGGAGCUGAAAGGGUAGCAAACGCUAUCAUAAACAAGCUUGAUACAAUCACUGACAGCGUAACCCAACUGACCCAAACCCAAGCUAGGACUACUUCAGAAAUUAUUGUGCAACUGGGGAACAUCUCUGAGGGAGUUCAUCUACUUAUGGAGUGUCA
Molecule: long non-coding RNA, 315 nt
Filed under: Phoenix dactylifera (date palm)
Lineage: Eukaryota; Viridiplantae; Streptophyta; Magnoliopsida; Arecales; Arecaceae
Description: long non-coding RNA (PDAC_LNC009033)
Source: RNAcentral